ACCUCCCCCACUGCAACUUGAGACCAUUGCUCCUUGUUCUGUCAUCUGGUACCACGGAGAACAUGCCCUGACUGGAAGGAGGAUGGACAGGUCUCAAGGGAGAAUGCAAUCAAAGACUCAGAUUGCAGGUGAAUCUUGACCCAGGGUUCAUGUGACUUACGUCUCCACACACCCAUUUUUGCGUGAGAGCCCAAAUGAGUCUGAUACUCACCCCCGGCUCUUGUGAGCAGAUGCCCAGUUAUCGCGGCAUCGGAAGCAGAUUGUGAGAUUGGCUUGAGGGGAAAGGACAAGAACUGAAACAGAGUGAUAAGGAGGAGCCCUGAGAUAACACUCAGGAUGUAUUUGCAGAGAUAGGGACUCAGCAUCACCGAGUGAUGAGGACGAAAAUGCUGCUCCCACCCAGGCCGAUGCAACAGGAGAUGCUGACAGCUGCUUGUGACCGUUACCCGUCACUGCAUGUGUCAAGUCCAUAUGACUCGCCGUUGGGCCGGUGGAUUUAUUGCUUCUCAGAAGAGCAGCGUUUCUCCAUCACAUGAAGCCAAACGUGAGCUGUGCUGCCAAUCGAAGUGGUGUGGGUCGCUGUGCGAAUCCAGCUCAGAAGGGAGCAUCCAGUCUGAUCUCCAGCACAACCCAGGCCGUAGGACUUCCCUGAAUUAACUAGUGUUUCAAGUGCAACAGCUGGGUGUGGGGAUGAACUAGGGCAGAUCGUUCAGAAAAACAUCCAACCAUGAUUUUAAAAUGUCCAGUGAUGGAGAAUCCAUCACAGCCCUUGAACCACCUUCAGUUCAUCCGUCUUGAAUUCUGGACACUGGAACUGGACAUAGUAUUCCAGCAGCAAUCACACCAGUGCCAAAUACUAAGGUACAAGUGCCAGUUACCCUGCACGAGCAGCCCUCACUGCUACCUCUGCCCAGCGCAGGAUCCAGGCUAGACAACAGAGCCUCCGGCCCCUUCCUGACAGAAUCCCAGGCUGUCAGACAGAGGUGCCAGCUCUGACCUCUACUCCAUUGGCUGGACG
Long non-coding RNA from Trachemys scripta elegans, 1018 nucleotides. RefSeq lists it as uncharacterized. NCBI's taxonomy places the organism in Eukaryota, Metazoa, Chordata, Testudines, Emydidae. The transcript is spliced from 5 exons. The record is from RefSeq and is a predicted model, not a curated record.